GUGGAUUAGAUACCCUAGUAGUCCACGCUGUAAACGAUGUUCACUCGCUGUUUGCGAUACACAGUAAGCGGCUGAGCGAAAGCAUUAAGUGAACCACCUGGGGAGUACGAUCGCAAGGUUGAAACUCAAAGGAAUUGACGGGGGCCCGCACAAGCGGAGGAACAUGUGGUUUAAUUCGAUGAUACGCGAGGAACCUUACCUGGGCUUAAAUGUAGAUUGCAUAGGGUAGAAAUAUCCUUUCCCUUCGGGGCUAUUUACAAGGUGCUGCACGGCCGUCGACAGCU
RNAcentral lists this ribosomal RNA (284 nucleotides) under uncultured bacterium. Its description in RNAcentral is "partial 16S ribosomal RNA". It matches the Rfam family "Bacterial small subunit ribosomal RNA", at positions 773 to 1060 of the family's 1533-position model. The record is from RNAcentral.